Molecule: long non-coding RNA, 3446 nt
Filed under: Heterocephalus glaber (naked mole-rat)
Lineage: Eukaryota; Metazoa; Chordata; Mammalia; Rodentia; Bathyergidae
Description: lncRNA (ENSHGLG00000040953.1)
Source: RNAcentral
CCAGCCUAUGCGGCCCGGCCCGGCCCGGCCUCCGAUCGGGCCCGCUCCCCCGCCCGCGCCCCGCCCGCACCGAGCACCCGAAGCGCGGGAGCGCGCGCGCCCUACGGGCCGCACCAUCGUACAGGCCGCUGGGGGAGGAGCUCCCGGGAGCAAUCCAGACGCUGGCGCCAAGAAGAGCCUCUCCUACAGCCUGCGGCCCCAAAGGACACAGACACCAGCGCACCCUGCUCCGCAGACGUACAGCCGGAUGCCAUUUCCCUCCUAUGAGCCUGCCGCGGGCACGGGGAAUCCGGCUCCCCCCGCGGGCCGCACUGAGCUCGUCCGGGGGCGGGGGCGGACGGCCCCUACCGUCACCCCACGCGGCCUCGGUCUGCGCAGGCGCGCAGAGGGGGUGGACUCUUGGCCGGGGCGACGGCUACGGCGACUUGGUGGAGCGAGUGUCGCGACGUCCUGCCGCCGAGCGAGGAGCGCCUCCUGGGCCUGCCCAACCACGGCUUUGGGCCACGGGUGUGCGUCCACUCGCCGAGACACCUGACGACCGCGGCCGAGGGGGAAGGCAGCGCAGACGGGGCGCUCCCCGGUGUCGCUGGGCUGCGGGGGUCGGGACAGGGUCCAGAAGCCUUUGAUGCAAAUGUUAGCCGGCCGGUCAAAGCGAAGACGACGCCUUUGCAGUCCUCCGUGACACCGCGAUGCGAUAGCUCCGUCACGUUGAGGCUCAAGCUGGCCUGUGUCCUGUUACUGGAGUUCGUGGUGAAAAGCGGCCCUGGAGGGUCUCCCUAUUCGGUUCAGACUGGCUUUGAACUUGCCUCCAUCUUCCUUCCUCGGCCUCCCAACUGCUGGGAUUACAAGCAUGCGCCACCAUGCCUGGUGGCUUUUUACAUUGGAGCCGCCUGAAACCCUUUUCUAAGCCUAGCAAAUUUCUUUUACAAAUGAUAGAAACAUUGACUGCUGGCCUGAAUGAAUAACCAAGAAUUUGUCAUCCGUUUUUUGUUUUUGUGACAUUGCUCUGUAGUCAGGAAAUCUUUGAAUGCCCAAGAAUAUACUGAAAACGCCAGCGUGAUAAAUUGUAUUUCCAAAUACACAACUGUCUUCGUUGGCCUGUGUGGAACUUUAGUAUCUGUUUGCUGCCUACUUAAACGCAGACUGAACAGGUUAUUUUGUUAAAACGCUUGACCUCAACCUGGUGUCUUAUUUUCUAAGUGAAGAAUAUAAUCAGUAAAAUUCAGCAGGACCAGUUUACCUUACUUCAAGUUCUGGUAGUAAAGCAAGUCGAGGACCUAAGAAACCUGCACAAUUAAAAUCCAUUCAAGCUAUGAGGCAGAAAUCACACAAAAAAUGGUUCGGUGUCUAAGCCAAAUUUUACCUGAAAUCAACUUCAUUUGGAUAGUAGACGUUCUAAGGAAGUCUAAGAAAUGUCCUGAAGUCAUGAAGAAUGGUGGUUCAACUUUUAAAGAUAAGCAGUGAAACUCAGAAGAAAAUUAUUUUAAGUUCAUUUCUGUAAUAUAAAAUGUCCAUUACAAAAUUGCAGGGAAAAUGCCACGUUGAGAUUGCUGUGUUUUAUUCAUUGAUAAAUAGAUAAUUCUUUUAUCGCUGAUUUUUGUGACACUUAGAAGAUGACGCAGUUAAGGUAAUAUUUCAUUGAACAAGGAGUUUUGUCUCUCUUCUUUGACUGUGAGGCAUGUAGUACCCCAAAUAUGAUGCUCUGAGUGUUGAUAUUUUAUAGAGUUUUCCCAAGUAAAUUCAAAGCAUGAUCAUGUUGUGACUUCCAGAGAAUGAACACCCUGAGUGCUGAUCCUGAUUUUGUAAAUGUGGUAACACGGUUCCCAUUUUGUAUUGGAAAAUUAUACUGAGCUUAGAAAAAAUGAAAAUGUAGAAUGAGAAAAGUAGAAUUGGGAAUAUAUCACCCCCUUUGUACCUCUGAGGGAAACCCAAGGCAGUUAUUUAGAUAAGUAUUACCAAAUGACUUUUUAAAAAUCCAUUUCUGUAUUGUAUACAGUAGUCUCGAUCUUGGCUUUGUGUUUUGUUCAGUUAACCCACACACCCCUCAGAGUUAGAUGUUAUCCAUGUUCAGUAAAUCUUUAGUCUGUUUUUAUAGGCUACAACAAACACAUCCUUCUCAUGAAAGGGACAGAAUACUCAGAGACACAAGACAGUUUUCUCAGUGACCCCAGUGGUCAUUUAACUAGUCAGCUAGCAUGGAAAAACUGGGAAGCACAAGUAAAACAGUAAAUUAUCCCAAAUCCUUACUGAGAUCCUUCCAGAUAUUGUCCCAUAUAAAUAUAUUUUUCCUUUAACAAGAAAAACCAUACCCUGGACACACUUCUAAUGCCCCUUCCCAAAAAAAAAAAAUUCAAGAAUGUCUUCCAUGUCAGUAAAUAAUAGAUCUACAUCCUUUAAUGAAUACCUAAUUGUGUUCAUUUCUCAUUGCUGUGACAAACUACCUGACAAAGGAGAAAAGGUUUGUUUUCUUUUAAGGUUUCUGAGGUUCCAGUCCACGGUCAGCUGGCUAUCAGGCCUGUGGUAAGGCAGAAAUAUGGCAGAAGCACAUGACAAGGGAAAGCUGCCUCACCUCGUGGCAGCCAGGGAGCAGGGAGAAGAGCCAGGGGGAAAAGAGCCUAUGAGCAGAUAAUUGCCAAAGUUACACCCCCAGGAGCACUCCUUUCCAGUAGGCCCUACCUUCUGUUUCCAUCACCUUCUGACAGUGUCAUCAGAUUGUGAUUUCAUCAGUGGGUUCAUCCAUUUGAUAAAAUUAGAGGCUUCCUGAUCUGGUCACCAUCCUCUGAACACAGAAGCUUUUGGGGGAACAUUUUAGGUCUAAACCAUAACAAUAGCACUCCAUUGUUUUUUUCAUUAUUUAGUACUGUGUCAUCACACAUUUCUUGUUUCCCAUUUAACAACUAUAAACAAUGCUGCAACAAAGCUGGCAUCUUUUUGAAGAAGGAGGGGGGAGGGGAGGGGGGAAAAGGAAAGAGUCAACUUUUAAUUAUAACUGACCAAACUUCACCAGGAAUGUCUUUGAACGAUGGAGGCAAAAACAUGAUAAAAUUCUCCUACUGAAGAAACCAAGGCUUCUCGUUGGUCCUGGUGCUCCCUGAGGCCCAGGCCAAGGGCAGAAGGUCCCCGAGGCCAGCUCUGCUCCCCUCACGUCUUUCAUCAUCGCAAGGGACAGCUGGGAACAGCGAGGGGCCCGUCCCCUCCUCCUGUCACACCACAGCUCUGAGGAAGUCACUGCUCGGCGAACCUCUCCGGCCUCACUUCCUGUCCUAAGCCUUUGUGGUCCAGCAGCUGGGAAGCAAGAGGAAGACCUGAAAACCAAUGUUUUGCUGUCAGAGUGGGGUGAGAGGAUGAAGCUAAAACUAGAAAUACUGGACCAUAUUUGGUAUUGAUUUAAGCCAAAUUGCACACUAAAUACUACACAUAAUAAUAAAAGAGUUAUCACAGCCUGC